This 924-nucleotide ribosomal RNA is filed under the name human gut metagenome. RNAcentral describes it as "bacterial SSU rRNA". It matches the Rfam family "Bacterial small subunit ribosomal RNA", at positions 400 to 1324 of the family's 1533-position model. The record is from RNAcentral.
CGUGAGGGAAGACGGCCCUAAGGGUUGUAAACCUCUUUUGCCGGGGAGCAAAAGCGCCGUGCGCGGUGCUAUGAGAGUACCCGGAGAAAAAGCAUCGGCUAACUCCGUGCCAGCAGCCGCGGUAAUACGGAGGAUGCGAGCGUUAUCCGGAUUUAUUGGGUUUAAAGGGUGCGUAGGCGGACAGUUAAGUCAGCGGUCAAAACGGGCGGCUCAACCGCCUGCCGCCGUUGAAACUGGCAGUCUAGAGUGGGCGAGAAGUACGCGGAAUGCGCGGUGUAGCGGUGAAAUGCAUAGAUAUUGCGCAGAACUCCGAUUGCGAAGGCAGCGUACCGGCGCCCGACUGACGCUGAGGCACGAAAGCGUGGGGAUCGAACAGGAUUAGAUACCCUGGUAGUCCACGCAGUAAACGAUGGACACUAUCUGUUCGGGUCGAUAGAGAUCUGAGUGGCACAGCGAAAGCGUUAAGUGUCCCACCUGGGGAGUACGCCGGCAACGGUGAAACUCAAAGGAAUUGACGGGGGCCCGCACAAGCGGAGGAACAUGUGGUUUAAUUCGAUGAUACGCGAGGAACCUUACCCGGGCUCAAACGCACGACGGCGGCACGUGAAAGCGUGCUUACCUACGGGACGUUGUGCGAGGUGCUGCAUGGUUGUCGUCAGCUCGUGCCGUGAGGUGUCGGCUUAAGUGCCAUAACGAGCGCAACCCCCAUCCGCAGUUGCCAGCAGGUAAAGCUGGGGACUCUGCGGAGACUGCCGGCGCAAGCUGAGAGGAAGGCGGGGAUGACGUCAAAUCAGCACGGCCCUUACGUCCGGGGCGACACACGUGUUACAAUGGCAGGGACAGAGGGAAGCCACCGGGCGACCGGGCGCGGACCCCGAAACCCUGUCUCAGUUCGGAUCGGAGUCUGCAACUCGACUCCGUGAA